GUGUCGGAAGACUCAAUAGAAAAGUUGGAAAAGCCAACGCGGUCCCGCCACUGUAACAGCGAGCGCUCCUAUAUAUGUCACUGGGGAAUUUCCUCUGGGAAGGCGUAGGAGGGCUAAGACCUGAAGCCAGGAGAACUGCCUGAUCAA
This 147-nucleotide non-coding RNA is filed under the name human oral metagenome. The record is from RNAcentral.